AGUGAACGCUGGCGGCAGGCCUAACACAUGCAAGUCGAGCGGCAGCGCGGGGGCAACCCUGGCGGCGAGCGGCGGACGGGUGAGGAAUUCGUCGGAAUCUGCCUUUUUGUUGGGGAUAACGUAGGGAAACUUACGCUAAUACCGCAUACGUCCUACGGGAGAAAGUGGGGGACCGCAAGGCCUCACGCAGAAAGAUGAGCCCACGACCGAUUAGCUAGUUGGUGGGGUAAAGGCCCACCAAGGCGACGAUCGGUAGCUGGUCUGAGAGGAUGAUCAGCCACACUGGGACUGAGACACGGCCCAGACUCCUACGGGAGGCAGCAGUGGGGAAUAUUGGACAAUGGGCGCAAGCCUGAUCCAGCCAUGCCGCGUGUGUGAAGAAGGCCUUCGGGUUGUAAAGCACUUUUGUCCGGAAAGAAAUCCCUGGAGCUAAUACCUUCGGGGGAUGACGGUACCGGAAGAAUAAGCACCGGCUAACCUCGUG
RNAcentral lists this ribosomal RNA (484 nucleotides) under uncultured bacterium. Its description in RNAcentral is "partial 16S ribosomal RNA". It matches the Rfam family "Bacterial small subunit ribosomal RNA", at positions 29 to 507 of the family's 1533-position model. The record is from RNAcentral.